ACUCCUACGGGAGGCAGCAGUGGGGAAUAUUGGACAAUGGGCGAAAGCCUGAUCCAGCCAUGCCGCAUGAGUGAAGAAGGCCUUUGGGUUGUAAAGCUCUUUUAGUGAGGAAGAUAAUGACGGUACUCACAGAAGAAGUCCUGGCUAACUCCGUGCCAGCAGCCGCGGUAAUACGGAGAGGGCUAGCGUUAUUCGGAAUUAUUGGGCGUAAAGGGCGCGUAGGCUGGUUAAUAAGUUAAAAGUGAAAUCCCGAGGCUUAACCUUGGAAUUGCUUUUAAAACUAUUAAUCUAGAGAUUGAAAGAGGAUAGAGGAAUUCCUGAUGUAGAGGUAAAAUUCGUAAAUAUUAGGAGGAACACCAGUGGCGAAGGCGUCUAUCUGGUUCAAAUCUGACGCUGAAGCGCGAAGGCGUGGGGAGCAAACAGGAUUAGAUACCCCGGUAGUCC
Molecule: ribosomal RNA, 444 nt
Filed under: uncultured Wolbachia sp.
Lineage: Bacteria; Pseudomonadati; Pseudomonadota; Alphaproteobacteria; Rickettsiales; Anaplasmataceae
Description: bacterial SSU rRNA
Rfam family: Bacterial small subunit ribosomal RNA
Source: RNAcentral